UACGAAGGGGGCUAGCGUUGCUCGGAAUCACUGGGCGUAAAGCGUGCGUAGGUGGCGUGUUAAGUGUGAUGUUAAAUCGUGUGGCUCAACCAUAUCGAUGUGUCGCAUACUGGCAUGCUAGAGGGAAGCAGAGGCAAGUGGAAUUUGUAGUGUAGCAGUGAAAUGCGUAGAUAUUACAAGGAACACCAAUGGCGAAGGCAGCUUGCUGGGCUUCUUCUGACACUGAGGUACGAAAGCGUGGGGAGCGAACAGG
Molecule: ribosomal RNA, 253 nt
Filed under: uncultured bacterium
Lineage: Bacteria
Description: partial 16S ribosomal RNA
Rfam family: Bacterial small subunit ribosomal RNA
Source: RNAcentral